GACGAACGCUGGCGGCGUGCUUAACACAUGCAAGUCGAACGGAAAGGCCCUGCUUUUGUGGGGUGCUCGAGUGGCGAACGGGUGAGUAACACGUGAGUAACCUGCCCUUGACUUUGGGAUAACUUCAGGAAACGGGGGCUAAUACCGGAUAGGAGCUCCUGCUGCAUGGUGGGGGUUGGAAAGUUUCGGCGGUUGGGGAUGGACUCGCGGCUUAUCAGCUUGUUGGUGGGGUAGGGGCUUACCAAGGCUUUGACGGGUAGCCGGCCUGAGAGGGUGACCGGCCACAUUGGGACUGAGAUACGGCCCAGACUCCUACGGGAGGCAGCAGUGGGGAAUAUUGCACAAUGGGCGGAAGCCUGAUGCAGCAACGCCGCGUGCGGGAUGACGGCCUUCGGGUUGUAAACCGCUUUCGCCUGUGACGAAGCGUGAGUGACGGUAAUGGGUAAAGAAGCACCGGCUAACUACGUG
RNAcentral lists this ribosomal RNA (468 nucleotides) under uncultured bacterium. Its description in RNAcentral is "partial 16S ribosomal RNA". It matches the Rfam family "Bacterial small subunit ribosomal RNA", at positions 28 to 507 of the family's 1533-position model. The record is from RNAcentral.